RNAcentral lists this ribosomal RNA (253 nucleotides) under uncultured bacterium. RNAcentral describes it as "partial 16S ribosomal RNA". It matches the Rfam family "Bacterial small subunit ribosomal RNA", at positions 524 to 776 of the family's 1533-position model. The record is from RNAcentral.
UACGUAGGGUGCGAGCGUUAAUCGGAAUUACUGGGCGUAAAGCGUGCGCAGGCGGCGCGUUAAGACAGGUGUGAAAGCCCCGAGCUUAACUUGGGAAUUGCGCUUGUGACUGGCGUGCUGGAGUGUGGCAGAGGGAGGUGGAAUUCCACGUGUAGCAGUGAAAUGCGUAAAGAUGUGGAGGAACACCGAUGGCGAAGGCAGCCUCCUGGGCCAACACUGACGCUCAUGCACGAAAGCGUGGGGAGCAAACAGG